AACUUUUGGCAAUGGAUCACUUGGCUCUCGCAUCGAUGAAGAACGCAGCGAAAUGCGAUAAGUAAUGUGAAUUGCAGAAUUCAGUGAAUCAUCGAAUCUAUGAACGCACCUUGCGCCCCUCGGUUAUUCCUUGGGGCAUGCCUGUUUGAGUAUCAUGAACACCUCAACUCUCACGGUCUUCCGUGACGAGCUAGGACUUUGGGGCUUUGCUGGCCCUGCGGCCGGCUCCUCUCAAACAAAUCACAUUGCCAGUGCUUGGCGGCAUCUCACGGGUGUGAUAACUAUCUACUCUCCUGGCUGUCUGCCAGGUAACCCUCUGCGAUGAAGGGUCAUUGGGGCUGAUAAACGUCUCUCCGCUGCAAGGACAGCUUUUGUACGUUCGAUCUCAAUUCAGAUAGGACUACCCGCGGAACUUAAGCAGAUCAAUAAGCGAAGGCU
This 438-nucleotide unclassified non-coding RNA is filed under the name uncultured Thelephorales. Its description in RNAcentral is "sequence contains ITS2". The stretch from base 1 to 155 matches the Rfam family "5.8S ribosomal RNA". Lineage: Eukaryota; Fungi; Basidiomycota; Agaricomycetes; Thelephorales. The record is from RNAcentral.